Molecule: small nuclear RNA, 21 nt
Filed under: Arabidopsis thaliana (thale cress)
Lineage: Eukaryota; Viridiplantae; Streptophyta; Magnoliopsida; Brassicales; Brassicaceae
Description: snRNA_00461
Source: RNAcentral
UGCCACGAUCCACUGAGAUUC